This 1140-nucleotide long non-coding RNA is filed under the name Neogobius melanostomus (round goby). RNAcentral describes it as "lncRNA (ENSNMLG00000007752.1)". Lineage: Eukaryota; Metazoa; Chordata; Actinopteri; Gobiiformes; Gobiidae. The record is from RNAcentral.
AAUUCAGCUCAAAUAAAUGAUUAAAGAGGGGGUAUUAUGCUUUUUUCAAUCACAUAGCACCAGUCUAUAGCAUACUACAAUGAUGACGUAACCUUCUGUUGGUCUGUAUAUGCAGUAAAUUAAAAUAACUGCCUUGAAUAAAAUUGCUCUCUCAAAAUGGCUGUACUGAACGUCUUGAAAUAGGCCUCUGUCUCUUUAAGAAGCUUUCCGACACGCCCCCUUCAGCACACUGCUGUGGCAUCUAAACAACACUACUGUGCGGGGAGGGGGCUCUGCUGAGCUGAGGAGCAGUGGUUGGUGGCUUGGCUGGUGACGAAAGGUCCAGAGGCGUCUCCAGGAGGUGGGGGCGUUCCUAGGAGGACUGAGGCAUAGCUACACCUAAAAUGGCUGCCGUCUAAGUUUUUACUGAUUACUCAAAAUAUGUGAAUGAGCCAAGGCAACACUCCAGGCAUGUGUUUAAUGAGGGAAUGACAUAAUAACAUGAUAUAAAGCUUGAAAAAGUCAAUUUUACAUAAUACCCCCCCUUUAAAACAACAUGGUUCUGUUUUAUGUCUCGCCAACACUGCCCUGAGUCCUGCAUGAGCGUGAAUGUUCUUGUUGUCGUAGAUCCACCUGCCGUUCCCGGUGGAGCAGAUCUCCAGCCUGAGCCGCAGUGCGUUCCAGCAGGUCCUGAAGAGGCAGCAGCUGACGCCGGAGCAGCAGGAGUUUGUGCAGGACGUGCGGCGCCGCAGUAAGAACAGGAUGGCGGCUCAGCGCUGCCGCAAGAGGAAACUGGACGGGAUUCAGCAGCUGGAGGUCGACAUCACUGCUCUGAGGAGCCAGAGAGAGCGCCUCCUGCAGGAGAGGACUGAGCUGGAGCGCAGUUUGGAGCAGACCCGUCGGGACGUGUGCGAUCUGUGUCCGAACCCCGGCCUGGACCGCGCCUCAGAGCACUGCCCCUCCACUCAGCUCCCCCGGACCCUCCUUACCCUCCCCGUGUCCGCCGCGCCCACAGAGCACUGCCCCUGCUGGAGAUGGGCGCCGUUUCCUCCACACCAGCAGGAGCGCCGUCGGACUCCGGCCUCCGAGAAGCCUGUCCCAUCUCCGCCUCGCUCUUCAACAGUUUGCACAUGGACUCAUUUUGAGACGCAAACGCUCUAA